Molecule: small nuclear RNA, 167 nt
Organism: Suncus etruscus (white-toothed pygmy shrew)
Lineage: Eukaryota; Metazoa; Chordata; Mammalia; Eulipotyphla; Soricidae
Product: U1 spliceosomal RNA
Exons: 1
Source: RefSeq, a predicted model, not a curated record
AUACUUCCCUGGCAAAGGUGAUGCCAUGAUCAUGAAGGUAGUUUUCCCAAGGUGAGAUUUAUCCAUUACACUUCUAAUGUGCUGACUGACACCUAUGAUUUAUCCAAUAGUGAAAAACUCAACUGCUUAUUCGUGAUAGCAUGGGACUGCAUUUGCACUCUCCCCUA